GUCAACAUGGGAGCACAGGUGACAACAAUUAUUUGCAUCGAGGAUGGAGUUGCUCUGCCUGCGACAGCAAAGACUUUGCCUUUCGGGGGAGAGG
Cucurbita maxima (winter squash) is the source of this 94-nucleotide long non-coding RNA. RefSeq lists it as uncharacterized. The record is from RefSeq and is a predicted model, not a curated record. The transcript is spliced from 2 exons. NCBI's taxonomy places the organism in Eukaryota, Viridiplantae, Streptophyta, Magnoliopsida, Cucurbitales, Cucurbitaceae.